GACGUAGGGCGCGAGCGUUGUCCGGAUUUAUUGGGCGUAAAGAGCUCGUAGGCGGCUUGUCGCGUCGAAUGUGAAAUCUCAGGGCUCAACUCUGACAUUGCAUUCGAUACGGGCAGGCUCGAGUUCGGUAGGGGAGACUGGAAUUCCUGGUGUAGCGGUGAAAUGCGCAGAUAUCAGGAAGAACACCCGUGGCGAAGGCGGCUCUCUGGAACGCAACUGACGCUGAGACGCGAAAGCGUGGGGAGCAAACAGG
Molecule: ribosomal RNA, 253 nt
Filed under: uncultured bacterium
Lineage: Bacteria
Description: partial 16S ribosomal RNA
Rfam family: Bacterial small subunit ribosomal RNA
Source: RNAcentral